UGGGUGAGGGGAUUCCCCUGUGAAGGUCAGUCACUGUUUGUCUCUGCAGAGGAAGCAUAAAUUGUGGCUGCUGCAGCUCUGCUCUUUGUCUUUAUUUUUAGGAAGUCAAGGCAGAGAGCAGCUGUCAAGGCUGAGUGGGCAAGAUGGACUGCUUGCCAUCUAUCCUAGCCCAGCAUGCCCAUGCCAGGUGCUGUCGCUGCCCUAGGCAUGCCGGGGAAGAGAGGAGGGCAGGUAUCUUCCGGGCGGCCUCUGGAGUCAAAUCAAGACUUGAGGUACCCUGGGCAGGCUUGUAGCCACAGCUUGGAAGCGGCAGCACCGAAGCGCACACAUUGAGAACGUCUCAACGUCCACGUCCGACCGAGGAUGGAUUUUGUCUGCUUGUCUUCCAAAAGCUAAGUGUCGGGGCCAGUGGUUGGGAGAAGGGGAAAAGCCUUUACUAUCACAGGAGGCAAUCUGAUGUCAGCUUAGCGGAGAGGUCUGUAGUGGGACAGGCUCCCUGGAAGUAAAGGGAGAGGGUUUCUCCUCAGCCUCACCAGAGCCUUUGCCGGGCAGGGCAAUUCCUACCCAUCUCCACAUUCUCGUGAACUUUGUGUCAUCAGCCUUCUUCGA
Molecule: long non-coding RNA, 609 nt
Organism: Melospiza melodia melodia
Lineage: Eukaryota; Metazoa; Chordata; Aves; Passeriformes; Passerellidae
Exons: 5
Source: RefSeq, a predicted model, not a curated record